UGGACGCCUUGAUGAUGAUUCCUUUCAUGAAUUACUCAUAUGUUUCUUGUCUUCUAAUGAUUUGCAAGUCAAAAGCCUCUCCUGUGUGGGUAGAACGAAUGCAAAGGAUUGUGCGAAAAGAAUCAUGCGGCGACUCCUGACCGACAAGGUUGCUCGGAACUAUACCUGGAAAUGACAAAAGGGAGAGAUGUGUGCUUUCAAGGGACUGAAGGUGCAGGCCAUGAUCUACAAAGCUGUACGGAAGAACCGUGGGUGUAUGGAGGCUUCCGAUAAAGUUAGUGCAGGAGCCAUCACAGAGUGGAGACCAAUGCUUCAGCAGACAGUGCUGUUCCACCUGUCCGUCGUCCUUCCCGCCCGAGCUGCCAUCCGCAUCAGAGAGCGACGACUCCUCUCCCAGCGACAGAGAAGACUAGAGAUAUACACGUCAUGUCUACGAUGACUGCAAUGCCACCUACAGCCGCCGAAUGCCAGUACUGGUCACGUAGCCAUUUGCUUCCCACGGCAACUAGCAGGCAGUCCAGACAGUCCUUUGCCACUGGAUCGCCCCCACGAUCAAGAGCUGUCUCCCACAUAGGACACCUCUGCGCUCUACCUCAUUGUACUCCUCUACACUGGCAUAUGUCUGCCCCACCUUUCUGCAUGUGGGACCACAGGCUUGUCACCAAGCAACUCUUGACCCCAAUUGGAACGCUUGAUACUUCACCAUUUAAGUUCACACAUGACAUUGCUGUAGAAGAGGUCCUAUCCAAUACAUGGCCUUGGAUGUAGCUGGUGAUUAUCUCUGAUAUUUUGCACAAAUAUCUGAUAGUUUAGAUAUCUGAUGAUUACGAAUAAGAAGGUUUCCGUAUAUUCGAAUAAAGGCAUGUGGAUCUGCUAGUGUUCUAUAUACCUUGUUCUUAAAGCCUUUUCCCCAGAUGUACAGGAACCUUUGUUCAGCCUUGUUUUACAGUGUGGAAAAUCUCAUAAGGCUGGUUAAUUUGACUGAUGUGUCCAUUGUAGAAGGUUGGUGAUGAUAAUUUGAUCGUUGUUAUGUACAGAAGGAUACCUGUAUGUCUUGUGUAUUUUGUGCUACAUCUAGAUGGAUUAACCAUAUACUAUAUCUUUUCUUACAUCUAAAGCUCUAUUAGUUUAGUUUUAGUUUAAUUAUUCCUUGGGAAUCUUUAUGGAGCUUAACACCUAUCCUUGAAACAUUUUAAAUUGAACUGUUUAAAAGUGUUACUUUAAUAACAUUCCUUUGCUUUGACUUAACAGUGGUUAAUUAAUUCCUCUGAUUGUUCUCUGUUUCUCAUCUUUAUC
Molecule: long non-coding RNA, 1296 nt
Organism: Pomacea canaliculata
Lineage: Eukaryota; Metazoa; Mollusca; Gastropoda; Architaenioglossa; Ampullariidae
Exons: 3
Source: RefSeq, a predicted model, not a curated record